CAAUGUACAGCAGAACUUUUCAGAAGAGAUUGAUAGUUGCAGAGUAGCUCCGGUAUAAAUAUCAAAUCAAAUUAUAUCAAGAAAAUAGUUUCUGCCGUGAAAUGCAGUUUGGCCGUGACGGUUAUGAUAAAUCUGGCCUGUUCGGCUAUGGCAUCAAGUGCUACGAAUGCGAUUCGGUUACUACACCCAAAUGCGCCCUGAAGAUUGAGGAGGGUGAGUCUUCGUUAACUGAGUGCAAAUAUAUAUAUAUAUAUGUCUUUUUAUAUGUGCCAACCAACCGGCUGCAUGACGACUGAAGUCAAGAGCGGUUAUUUAGCUGAGGCUUGGAACAUUUUCUUUGCCUCGCCUAGAUCAACAACAGACAUUUUUUAUCAGCUGCGACAAUUUCACGUGAGGCUUGCCAACCUAGUUUACAACAAACAGAUGUUUCGAUAAACUAUGUUUACGCCCUCCAAGUGUUUGAAUUUGAAUGUUUGCCAAGAUUAAUGCUGAUGCGAUGCGAAUCCUCCUGAAUCCAACUAGUUGUUUGUAGUCAGUUUUCUCCAGUUAACUACGCAGUAUGAAAUAAAAGCACCAGUAAUACAUCCGCAACAAAUACUAAAUACUGAGCGCCGAAGUUAAAAUACCCUUAUAGGAAAAAAUGAGAUUCUCUAUACAAUAUAUAACAUAUAUAUCACAUUCCCAGCCGGAUAAAACUCUACCAAGCUACCAGCUAUAUUCAAGCCAAGGACUGCAUCAUUAUUAUUAUAUAAAUUAA
Non-coding RNA from Drosophila virilis, 757 nucleotides. The record is from RefSeq and is a predicted model, not a curated record. Lineage: Eukaryota; Metazoa; Arthropoda; Insecta; Diptera; Drosophilidae.